GAAAUGCGAUAAGUAAUGUGAAUUGCAGAAUUCAGUGAAUCAUCGAAUCUUUGAACGCACCUUGCGCUCCUUGGUAUUCCUUGGAGCAUGCCUGUUUGAGUAUCAUGAAAUCUUCAAAGUAAAUCUUUUGUUAACUCAAUUGGUUUCUACUUUGGUAUUGGAGGUCUUUGCAGCUUCACACCUGCUCCUCUUUGUUCAUUAGCUGGAUCUCAGUGUUAUGCUUGGUUCCACUCGGCGUGAUAAGUUAUCUAUCGCUGAGGACACUGUAAAAGGUGGCCAAGGUAAAUUCAGAUGAACCGCUUCUAAUAGUCCAUUGACUUGGACAAUACUUUUAUGAUCUGAUCUCAAAUCAGGUAGGACUACCCGCUGAACUUAAGC
RNAcentral lists this unclassified non-coding RNA (378 nucleotides) under plant metagenome. Its description in RNAcentral is "partial contains 5.8S ribosomal RNA, internal transcribed spacer 2, and large subunit ribosomal RNA". The stretch from base 1 to 105 matches the Rfam family "5.8S ribosomal RNA", at positions 50 to 154 of the family's 154-position model. The record is from RNAcentral.